UUUUAGAAUUUAAUUUAAAGUCUAACCUGCCCACUGAAUAAUUUUAAAUGGCCGCAGUAUCUUAACUGUGCAAAGGUAGCAUAAUCAUUAGUCUUUUAAUUGAAGGCUGGAAUGAAUGGUUGAAUGAAAUAUUAACUGUUUCAUAAAAAUUAUAAAUAAAAUUUUAUUUUUUAGUCAAAAAGCUAAAAUAAUCUUAAAAGACGAGAAGACCCUAUAAAUCUUUAUAUUUAAGUAAUUUUAAUUAUUUAGAUAAAUUAAAUUAUAAUUAUAUUAAGUAUUUUAUUGGGGUGAUAUUAAAAUUUAAUAAACUUUUAAUUUAUUAUUAACAUAAAUUAAUGAAUUAAUUGAUCCAUUUAUUAUGAUUAAAAAAUUAAGUUACUUUAGGGAUAACAGCGUAAUUUUUUUAGAGAGUUCAUAUUGAUAAAAA
This 427-nucleotide ribosomal RNA is filed under the name Megaselia baltica. Its description in RNAcentral is "partial 16S ribosomal RNA". Lineage: Eukaryota; Metazoa; Arthropoda; Insecta; Diptera; Phoridae. The record is from RNAcentral.